GAUGAACGCUGGCGGCGUGCCUAAUACAUGCAAGUCGAGCGAACAGACGAGGAGCUUGCUCCUCUGACGUUAGCGGCGGACGGGUGAGUAACACGUGGAUAACCUACCUAUAAGACUGGGAUAACUUCGGGAAACCGGAGCUAAUACCGGAUAAUAUAUUGAACCGCAUGGUUCAAUAGUGAAAGACGGUUUUGCUGUCACUUAUAGAUGGAUCCGCGCCGCAUUAGCUAGUUGGUAAGGUAACGGCUUACCAAGGCAACGAUGCGUAGCCGACCUGAGGGGGUGAUCGGCCACACUGGAACUUAGACACGGUCCAGACUCCUACGGGAGGCAGCAGUAGGGAAUCUUCCGCAAUGGUCGAAAGCCUGACGGAGCAACGCCGCGUGAGUGAUGAAGGUCUUCGGAUCGUAAAACUCUGUUAUUAGGGAAGAACAAAUGUGUAAGUAACUAUGCACGUCUUGACGGUACCUAAUCAGAAAGCCACGGCUAACUACGUG
RNAcentral lists this ribosomal RNA (497 nucleotides) under uncultured bacterium. RNAcentral describes it as "partial 16S ribosomal RNA". It matches the Rfam family "Bacterial small subunit ribosomal RNA", at positions 28 to 507 of the family's 1533-position model. The record is from RNAcentral.